Molecule: ribosomal RNA, 2523 nt
Filed under: Listeria monocytogenes
Lineage: Bacteria; Bacillati; Bacillota; Bacilli; Caryophanales; Listeriaceae
Description: partial 23S ribosomal RNA
Rfam family: Bacterial large subunit ribosomal RNA
Source: RNAcentral
UCCUGAGUACGGCGGAACACGUGAAAUUCCGUCGGAAUCCGGGAGGACCAUCUCCCAAGGCUAAAUACUCCCUAGUGACCGAUAGUGAACCAGUACCGUGAGGGAAAGGUGAAAAGCACCCCGGAAGGGGAGUGAAACAGUUCCUGAAACCGUGUGCCUACAAGUAGUUAGAGCCCGUUAAUGGGUGAUAGCGUGCCUUUUGUAGAAUGAACCGGCGAGUUACGAUUUGUUGCAAGGUUAAGCGGAAAAAGCGGAGCCGUAGCGAAAGCGAGUCUGAAUAGGGCGCAUAAGUAACAGGUCGUAGACCCGAAACCAGGUGAUCUACCCAUGUCCAGGAUGAAGGUAAGGUAAUACUUACUGGAGGUCCGAACCCACGCACGUUGAAAAGUGCGGGGAUGAGGUGUGGGUAGCGGAGAAAUUCCAAUCGAACUUGGAGAUAGCUGGUUCUCUCCGAAAUAGCUUUAGGGCUAGCCUCGAGGUAAAGAGUCAUGGAGGUAGAGCACUGUUUGGACUAGGGGCCCUUCUCGGGUUACCGAAUUCAGAUAAACUCCGAAUGCCAUGUACUUAUACUCGGGAGUCAGACUGCGAGUGAUAAGAUCCGUAGUCGAAAGGGAAACAGCCCAGACCACCAGUUAAGGUCCCCAAAUAUAUGUUAAGUGGAAAAGGAUGUGGGGUUGCUUAGACAACCAGGAUGUUGGCUUAGAAGCAGCCACCAUUGAAAGAGUGCGUAAUAGCUCACUGGUCGAGUGACCCCGCGCCGAAAAUGUACCGGGGCUAAACAUAUUACCGAAACUGUGGAUGAACCUCUUUAGAGGUUCGUGGUAGGAGAGCGUUCUAAGGGCGGUGAAGUCAGACCGGAAGGACUGGUGGAGCGCUUAGAAGUGAGAAUGCCGGUAUGAGUAGCGAAAGAAGGGUGAGAAUCCCUUCCACCGAAUAUCUAAGGUUUCCUGAGGAAGGCUCGUCCGCUCAGGGUUAGUCGGGACCUAAGCCGAGGCCGAUAGGCGUAGGCGAUGGACAACAGGUAGAGAUUCCUGUACCAGUGCUAAUUGUUUAACCGAUGGGGUGACACAGAAGGAUAGGGAAUCGCACGAAUGGAAAUGUGCGUCCAAGCAGUGAGUGUGAGAAGUAGGCAAAUCCGCUUCUCGCGAAGCAUGAGCUGUGAUGGGGAAGGAAAUUAAGUACGGAAGUUCCUGAUUUCACGCUGUCAAGAAAAGCCUCUAGGAAGAGUAGUACUGCCCGUACCGCAAACCGACACAGGUAGAUGAGGAGAGAAUCCUAAGGUGAGCGAGAGAACUCUCGUUAAGGAACUCGGCAAAAUGACCCCGUAACUUCGGGAGAAGGGGUGCUCUAUUAGGGUGCAAGCCCGAGAGAGCCGCAGUGAAUAGGCCCAGGCGACUGUUUAGCAAAAACACAGGUCUCUGCAAAACCGUAAGGUGACGUAUAGGGGCUGACGCCUGCCCGGUGCUGGAAGGUUAAGAGGAGUGCUUAGCUUCGGCGAAGGUACGAAUUGAAGCCCCAGUAAACGGCGGCCGUAACUAUAACGGUCCUAAGGUAGCGAAAUUCCUUGUCGGGUAAGUUCCGACCCGCACGAAAGGCGCAACGAUCUGGGCACUGUCUCAACGAGAGACUCGGUGAAAUUAUAGUACCUGUGAAGAUGCAGGUUACCCGCGACAGGACGGAAAGACCCCGUGGAGCUUUACUGCAACCUGAUAUGGAAUGUUUGUACCGCUUGUACAGGAUAGGUAGGAGCCGAAGAGACGUGUGCGCUAGCAUACGAGGAGGCAAUGGUGGGAUACUACCCUGGCUGUAUGACCAUUCUAACCCGCCACGCUUAGCGCGUGGGGAGACAGUGUCAGGUGGGCAGUUUGACUGGGGCGGUCGCCUCCUAAAGAGUAACGGAGGCGCCCAAAGGUUCCCUCAGAAUGGAUGGAAAUCAUUCGCAGAGUGUAAAGGCACAAGGGAGCUUGACUGCGAGACUGACAAGUCGAGCAGGGACGAAAGUCGGGCUUAGUGAUCCGGUGGUUCCGCAUGGAAGGGCCAUCGCUCAACGGAUAAAAGCUACCCCGGGGAUAACAGGCUUAUCUCCCCCAAGAGUCCACAUCGACGGGGAGGUUUGGCACCUCGAUGUCGGCUCGUCGCAUCCUGGGGCUGUAGUCGGUCCCAAGGGUUGGGCUGUUCGCCCAUUAAAGCGGCACGCGAGCUGGGUUCAGAACGUCGUGAGACAGUUCGGUCCCUAUCCGUCGCGGGCGCAGGAAAUUUGAGAGGAGCUGUCCUUAGUACGAGAGGACCGGGAUGGACACACCGCUGGUGUACCAGUUGUUCCGCCAGGAGCAUCGCUGGGUAGCUAUGUGUGGCAGGGAUAAACGCUGAAAGCAUCUAAGCGUGAAGCCCCCCUCAAGAUGAGAUUUCCCAUUUCUUCGGAAAGUAAGAUCCCUGAAAGAUGAUCAGGUAGAUAGGUUUGGAGUGGAAGUGUAGCGAUACAUGGAGCGGACAAAUACUAAUCGAUCGAGGACUUAACCAAAA